GCUACUGCCAUCAGAGUUCGAUUAGGCCAUGUUAGUCGAGGGUACCUCUUCUUCUUCGGAGGAUGAGGUAACCCGGCGGACGGCUCAGUAACACGUGGAUAACUUGCCCUUGGGUCUGGGAUAACCCCUGGGAAACUGGGGCUAAUACCGGAUAGAGCAUCGAUCGCUGGAAUGCAUGAUGCUCGAAAACUACGGUGCCCAAGGAUAGGUCUGCGGCUGAUUAGGUUGUUGUUGAUGUAAUGGACCAACAAGCCUACGAUCGGUACGGGUUGUGAGAGCAAUAGCCCGGAGAUGGGUUCUGAGAAAAGGACCCAGGUCCUACGGGACGCAUCAGGCGCGAAAACUUUACAAUGUGCGAAAGCACGAUAAGGGAACUCUGAGUGCCCCCUAAGGGGGCUGUUCUAGUGUCUAAAAAGCAAUAGAAGUAAGGGCUGGGCAAGACCGGUGCCAGCCGCCGCGGUAACACCGGCAGCCCAAGUGGUAGCCACGUUUAUUGGGUCUAAAGCGUUCGUAGCCGGCUUGGUAAGUUCCUUGGUAAAUUUAGCCGCUUAACGGUUAAGCUUUCAGGGAAUACUGCUUGGCUUGGGACUGGGAGAGGUCAGAGGUACUCCAGGGGUAGGGGUGAAAUCCAUUAAUCCUUGGGGGACCACCGGUAGCGAAGGCGUCUGACCAGACCAGCUCCGACGGUGAGGGACGAAGGCUAGGGGCGCGAACCGGAUUAGAUACCCGGGUAGUCCUAGCUGUAAACGAUGCGGGCUAGGUGUUGGCAUUACUGCGAGUGGUGCCAGUGCCGAAAGGGAAGCCGUUUAAAG
This 812-nucleotide ribosomal RNA is filed under the name uncultured archaeon. RNAcentral describes it as "bacterial SSU rRNA". It matches the Rfam family "Archaeal small subunit ribosomal RNA", at positions 23 to 819 of the family's 1478-position model. The record is from RNAcentral.